AACCUGCGGAAGGAUCAUUGUCGUGACCCUGACCAAAACAGACCGUGAACAUGUCAUCCAUGCGGCCGGGUCACGGGACUUGCGCCSGUCUCUCGGUACAGGCAGCUGACCUUCUUUCGGAGGUGAGUUUAGCCGCAAAAGAACCCACGGCGCUGUAUGGCGUCAAGGAACACUAAUAUUGCCUUGCUCGGGGCCAGCACCGGCUUGCCGGCCGCACCCUGUGCAGCGAUGCUAUGAUAAUCMACAUGACUCUCGGCAACGGAUAUCUCGGCUCUCGCAUCGAUGAAGAACGUAGCAAAAUGCGAUACCUGGUGUGAAUUGCAGAAUCCCGUGAACCAUCGAGUUUUUGAACGCAAGUUGCGCCCGAGSCCUUCUGGUCGAGGGCACGUCUGCCUGGGCGUCACGCCAAAAGACACUCCCCACCCACCUCGGUGCGGACGUGGUGUUUGGCCCCUCGUGCAAAAAGGCGCGGUGAGCCAAAGUUGGGGCUGCCGGCGGUGCCGAUCACAGCACAAGGUGGAUGACGCAUGUUGUUCUCGGUGCUUUGUUCUGUACCGCUACCGGUGAUAUGGCCCUCARGACCCAUGGACCGAAGCGCAAGUCGCUUGGACCGCGACCCCAGGUCAGUCGGGAUUACCCGCUGAAUUUAA
Molecule: ribosomal RNA, 650 nt
Filed under: Orinus thoroldii
Lineage: Eukaryota; Viridiplantae; Streptophyta; Magnoliopsida; Poales; Poaceae
Description: eukaryotic LSU rRNA
Source: RNAcentral